UACGUAGGGCGCAAGCGUUGUCCGGAAUUACUGGGCGUAAAGCGUGUGUAGGCGGUCUCUUAAGUCGGAUGUGAAAGCCCCGGGCUCAACCCGGGAAGUGCACUCGAAACUGGGAGGCUAGAGUACUGGAGAGGUUGGUGGAAUUCUCGGUGUAGAGGUGAAAUUCGUAGAUAUCGAGAGGAACACCGGUGGCGAAGGCGGCCAACUGGACAGAUACUGACGCUGAGACACGAAAGCGUGGGGAGCAAACAGG
This 253-nucleotide ribosomal RNA is filed under the name uncultured bacterium. RNAcentral describes it as "partial 16S ribosomal RNA". It matches the Rfam family "Bacterial small subunit ribosomal RNA", at positions 524 to 776 of the family's 1533-position model. The record is from RNAcentral.